RNAcentral lists this ribosomal RNA (331 nucleotides) under uncultured bacterium. Its description in RNAcentral is "bacterial SSU rRNA". It matches the Rfam family "Bacterial small subunit ribosomal RNA", at positions 1 to 334 of the family's 1533-position model. The record is from RNAcentral.
AUGCGCCUUGCCAGCCCGCUCAGUCAGAGUUUGAUCCUGGCUCAGAGCGAACGCUGGCGGCAGGCUUUAACACAUGCAAGUCGAGCGCACUCUUUUAGAGUGAGCGGCAAACGGGUGAGUAACGCGUGGGAAAUCUACCCCUCUCUACGGAAUAACACAGAGAAAUUUGUGCUAAUACCGUAAUACGGUCCCUUUUUGGGGAGAAAGAUUUAUCGGAGAUGGAUGAGCCCGCGUUGGAUUAGCUAGUUGGUGAGGUAACGGCCCACCAAGCGACGAUCCAUAGCUGGUCUGAGAGGAUGAUCAGCCACACUGGGACUAAGACACGGCCCAG